Molecule: ribosomal RNA, 292 nt
Filed under: uncultured bacterium
Lineage: Bacteria
Description: partial 16S ribosomal RNA
Rfam family: Bacterial small subunit ribosomal RNA
Source: RNAcentral
GUGGAUUAGAUACCCUGGUAGUCCUGGCCCUAAACGGUGCACGUUUGCUGUAAGCGGAAUCGACCCCGCUUGUGGCGUAGUUAACACGAUAAACGUGCCGCCUGGGAAGUACGGCCGCAAGGUUAAAACUCAAAGAAAUUGACGGGGGCCUGCACAAGCGGUGGAGUAUGUGGCUUAAUUCGAUGCAACGCGAAGAACCUUACCUGGCCUUGACAUGCAAGUAGUAGAAGCCUGAAAGGGUGACGAAUCCGCAAGGAUAGCUUGCACAGGUGCUGCAUGGCCGUCGACAACU